Molecule: ribosomal RNA, 468 nt
Filed under: uncultured bacterium
Lineage: Bacteria
Description: partial 16S ribosomal RNA
Rfam family: Bacterial small subunit ribosomal RNA
Source: RNAcentral
GACGAACGCUGGCGGCGUGCUUAACACAUGCAAGUCGAACGGAAAGGCCCUGCUUUUGUGGGGUGCUCGAGUGGCGAACGGGUGAGUAACACGUGAGUAACCUGCCCUUGACUUUGGGAUAACUUCAGGAAACUGGGGCUAAUACCGGAUAGGAGCUCCUGCUGCAUGGUGGGGGUUGGAAAGUUUCGGCGGUUGGGGAUGGACUCGCGGCUUAUCAGCUUGUUGGUGGGGUAGUGGCUUACCAAGGCUUUGACGGGUAGCCGGCCUGAGAGGGUGACCGGCCACAUUGGGACUGAGAUGCGGCCCAGACUCCUACGGGAGGCAGCAGUGGGGAAUAUUGCACAAUGGGCGGAAGCCUGAUGCAGCAACGCCGCGUGCGGGAUGACGGCCUUCGGGUUGUAAACCGCUUUCGCCUGUGACGAAGCGUGAGUGACGGUAAUGGGUAAAGAAGCACCGGCUAACUACGUG